RNAcentral lists this long non-coding RNA (531 nucleotides) under Mytilus galloprovincialis (Mediterranean mussel). Lineage: Eukaryota; Metazoa; Mollusca; Bivalvia; Mytilida; Mytilidae. The record is from RNAcentral.
GCACAUAUUCAAAACAACUGCCAGUUUCAAGUUUAGUUACAUUUAUUUGAUAACAGCACACAAUACAAAUGUAACAUAGUCAAGUUCUGAUCAGAAUUCAGUGUCAAUUUCUUUAUAAUUGAAAAGGCUCUCCCACAGUAGGAAUUGAUAUUUGACUGAAUUAGCUUCAUCAAGAUUUGAAAGAAUGUCAUAAUGUUUUUUUUUUUGGGCAAUGUAAAAUGUCAUCUAUUAUCUCUGCCAUUGCUCCCAUUGCUAUUGCCUGGUUAAAACUGGGUAGUUCAUCAGAAGAAAGCUGGUACUAUGAGAGCUGAUCCAACAGUUCUGUGAUAUUUUUAUCCCCAUGGCCUGUAGAAAUCUGUUGCCGUGUUGGCUAGAUUUGAAACUGAAAUUGAAAAAGAAAAAUGUUUUAUAAAUUUGAUUUCCAUUAGAUAAACAUGUUAAAUGCUUAUUCAAAUAGCUACAUUGUAUUUCUCCUCUCACAUGUAUUGUUUUUUUUAUCAUUGCAACAUAGAAUGCACAAAUUAUGCGUUA